UACGUAGGGACCGAGCGUUGUCCGGAAUCAUUGGGCGUAAAGAGCGUGUAGGCGGCCUUUUAAGUCCUGCGUGAAAUCCUGCGGCUCAACCGCAGACGGUCGUGGGAAACUGGGAAGGCUAGAGUGCGGGAGAGGAGAGUGGAAUUCCCGGUGUAGCGGUGAAAUGCGCAGAUAUCAGGAGGAACACCAAUUGCGAAGGCAGCUCGCUGGGACGUUACUGACGCUGAGACGCGAAAGCGUGGGGAGCAAACAGG
This 254-nucleotide ribosomal RNA is filed under the name uncultured bacterium. RNAcentral's name for it is "partial 16S ribosomal RNA". It matches the Rfam family "Bacterial small subunit ribosomal RNA", at positions 524 to 776 of the family's 1533-position model. The record is from RNAcentral.